CCUACGGGGAGCAGCAGUGAGGAAUAUUGGUCAAUGGGCGCGAGCCUGAACCAGCCAAGUCGCGUGAGGGAUGAAGGUUCUAUGGAUCGUAAACCUCUUUUAUAAGGGAAUAAUGUGUGGGACGUGUCCUAUUUUGUAUGUACCUUAUGAAUAAGGAUCGGCUAACUCCGUGCCAGCAGCCGCGGUAAUACGGAGGAUCCGAGCGUUAUCCGGAUUUAUUGGGUUUAAAGGGUGCGUAGGCGGCCUUUUAAGUCAGCGGUGAAAGUCUGUGGCUCAACCAUAGAAUUGGCGUUGAAACUGGGGGGCGUGAGUAUGUUUGAGGCAGGGGGAAUGCGUGGUGGAGCGGUGAAAUGCUUAGAUAUCACGCAGAACCCCGAUUGCGAAGGCAGCAUACCGGCUCCACACUGACGCUGAGGCACGAAAGCGUGGGUAUCGAACAGGAUUAGAUACCCGAGUAGUC
RNAcentral lists this ribosomal RNA (460 nucleotides) under uncultured bacterium. Its description in RNAcentral is "partial 16S ribosomal RNA". It matches the Rfam family "Bacterial small subunit ribosomal RNA", at positions 338 to 795 of the family's 1533-position model. The record is from RNAcentral.